ACACAGCCCUCAGUCCUAAAGGCUGGUCUCACUCCCAUCCUGCCACGCAACAGCACAGGGUCUAUUUCGAGACAGCCAGUGACCAGGGCUGAGAACUUGCCCCAGACCACCAGCCUCCUCACUGAGAAAGCAAGCAGAAUCACAGUUUUUUGGAAUCUCAGGGAGCCUUCAGCGGCAAUCCAGUUCCUUCAAAGGGUCUGUGGAUUCUCUCAGUUUUCAUGAUUCCAGGAACAUGAAGAUAAUGGGAGAGGCAGCCAGUCGGGGGCAAAGAUGCCGUUAAACAGUCAGCCCUGGGCAUGGACGUGCCCCCUCCUACUGAAGUCCUAUAUUCACAUCUUUCUGGGCCUGGGGUGUCAGCUGUGACCCUCGAAGGAAAGGGAUCACCCUCUUUCUGACCCUAUACCACCUUCAGCAGGGAUGAAGGCAGUCAGAGAAAACUUAGUUAAAAAAUUUCUAAACUGCUUUGCUGAUUUGAUCUGGGGCCCUGGAGUGCCAACAUCCUGUGAUAGCGGCUGAUUGUUGAUGCCUGGGAGGAUACAGCAGUGACGAUCCAAAUUUACAAGACUCAACAUGGUUUUCAAAACUUCCUUUUAAAAAAGAUGUUCCUGAGUUCUGGAAUCUGAACAAAAUAUGUCUGGUUAUUAUAUAAUUCUAAUGGUCCUUGUGGAUGCUACCAUUAGAGUUCAGUUAGUGUCUCAUCUAUCACUGUAAUAUUUGUAUUGUAACACUAAUCGUGGCAAAGUAUGAUUUGAUAAAUGCUCAUUCUCAAA
Molecule: long non-coding RNA, 770 nt
Organism: Homo sapiens (human)
Lineage: Eukaryota; Metazoa; Chordata; Mammalia; Primates; Hominidae
Source: Ensembl